This 253-nucleotide ribosomal RNA is filed under the name uncultured bacterium. RNAcentral's name for it is "partial 16S ribosomal RNA". It matches the Rfam family "Bacterial small subunit ribosomal RNA", at positions 524 to 776 of the family's 1533-position model. The record is from RNAcentral.
UACGGGGGGGGCAAGCGUUGUUCGGAAUUACUGGGCGUAAAGGGCUCGUAGGCGGCCAACUAAGUCGGACGUGAAAUCCCCAGGCUCAACCUGUGAAUGCCGCUGGAAACUGUCUGGCUAGAGUCCGGAAGGGGCGAGUGGAAUUCCUGGUGUAGCGGUGAAAUGCGCAGAUAUCAGGAGGAACACCAAUGGCGAAGGCAGCUCGCUGGGACGGUACUGACGCUGAGGCGCGAAAGCGUGGGGAGCAAACAGG